Molecule: ribosomal RNA, 362 nt
Filed under: Burkholderia contaminans
Lineage: Bacteria; Pseudomonadati; Pseudomonadota; Betaproteobacteria; Burkholderiales; Burkholderiaceae
Description: bacterial SSU rRNA
Rfam family: Bacterial small subunit ribosomal RNA
Source: RNAcentral
UGCAGUCGAACGGCAGCACGGGUGCUUGCACCUGGUGGCGAGUGGCGAACGGGUGAGUAAUACAUCGGAACAUGUCCUGUAGUGGGGGAUAGCCCGGCGAAAGCCGGAUUAAUACCGCAUACGAUCUACGGAUGAAAGCGGGGGACCUUCGGGCCUCGCGCUAUAGGGUUGGCCGAUGGCUGAUUAGCUAGUUGGUGGGGUAAAGGCCUACCAAGGCGACGAUCAGUAGCUGGNCUGANAGGACGACCAGCCACACUGGGACUGAGACACGGCCCAGACUCCUACGGGAGGCAGCAGUGGGGAAUUUUGGACAAUGGGCGAAAGCCUGAUCCAGCAAUGCCGCGUGUGUGAAGAAGGCCUUC